AUUUGUUUUAAUAAUCCGGUAAGAGCAACAAGUUUAAAAAUAAAAUAAAAACAUAUAACAAACAUAAUAAGAAUAAUAAAAAUUAUUACUUAAUACACACAGCUUACACAACUAAACUGGAGAAAAAAUAUCCAGAAACAAAAAGUACUCUCAACAACUUUAAUAUAAUUUAUGUACUCUCAACAGUACAAGAAACUAAUUAAAAAGACAAACAAACAAUAAGUCUCAGUGAUACAGCAAACAACAACACGAACUAUAUCAAUCAUAUUAUUAACACAAUUUAGUUCUUCAU
Molecule: long non-coding RNA, 292 nt
Filed under: Brassica napus (rape)
Lineage: Eukaryota; Viridiplantae; Streptophyta; Magnoliopsida; Brassicales; Brassicaceae
Description: long non-coding RNA (BNAP_LNC022950)
Source: RNAcentral